RNAcentral lists this ribosomal RNA (96 nucleotides) under uncultured bacterium. Its description in RNAcentral is "partial 16S ribosomal RNA". The record is from RNAcentral.
CACCGCCCGUCACACCAUGGGAGUUUGUUGCACCGAGAAGCAGGUAGCUGAACCGCAAGGGGGGCGCUUGCCACGGUGUGGCCGAUGACUGGGGUG